RNAcentral lists this ribosomal RNA (468 nucleotides) under uncultured bacterium. Its description in RNAcentral is "partial 16S ribosomal RNA". It matches the Rfam family "Bacterial small subunit ribosomal RNA", at positions 28 to 507 of the family's 1533-position model. The record is from RNAcentral.
GACGAACGCUGGCGGCGUGCUUAACACAUGCAAGUCGAACGGACAGGCCCUGCGUUUGUUUGUUUCUCGAUUGGCGAACGGGGGAGUAACACAUGAGGAACCUCCCCUUGACUGUGUGAUAACUUCAGGAAACUGGGGCGAAUACCGCGUAUAAUCUCCUGCUGCGUGUUGUUGGUUGGAAAGAUUCGGCGGUGGGGGAUGGACUGGCGGGUUAUCAGCUGGUUGGUGGGGUAGGGGCUGACCAAGGCUUUGACGGGUAGGCGGCCUGAGAGGGUGAACGGGCACAUUGGGCCUGAGAUACGGAGCAGAAUCGUACGGGAGGCAGUAGGGGGGAACAUUGCAGAACGGGCGGAAGUGUGAUGUAGAAACGCCGCGAGCGGGAUGCUCGGCUUCGGGUUGUAAACAGAUUUCGAAUGUGACGAAGAGUGAGUGACGGUAAUGGGUAAAGAAGCAACGGCUAACUACGUG